Molecule: long non-coding RNA, 4775 nt
Organism: Pecten maximus
Lineage: Eukaryota; Metazoa; Mollusca; Bivalvia; Pectinida; Pectinidae
Exons: 2
Source: RefSeq, a predicted model, not a curated record
GGGGACAUCACAGCUGUAUCAUGUGUAAUAGAGGUCUGGUGUUACUGGGGACAUCAAGGCUGUGUCAUGUGUAAUAGAGGUCUGGUGUUACUGGGGACAUCACGGCUGUAUCGUGUAAUAGAGGUCUGGUGUUACUGGGUACAUCAAGGCUGUGUGAUGUGUAAUAGAGGUCUGGUGUUACUUGGGACAUCACGGCUGUAUCAUGUGUAAUAGAGGUCUGGUGUUACUGGGGACAUCACGGCUGUAUCAUGUGUAAUAGAGGUCCGGUGUUACUGGGGACAUCACAGCUGUAUCAUGUGUUACUGGGGACAUCAUGGCUGUAUCAUGUGUAAUAGAAGUCCGGUGUUCGAGAAUUAUAUCAUAUGAAAUGGCACUUUAGAUGACACAUUAUAUUUUAACAUUAUGAAUAUAAAGCUAUAGUUUUUAUCUAGUGUACACAAAGUUAACAUAUUGAUAUUUUGUGAUGUUUGUAGAGAUGGUUGUGUUCUCGAUGUUAGAUUUUUUGUGUUUGUGCAAUAGAAUUACGUGAUUAGCUUCUGUCAGUGUAAAAGACCUACCAUUGAGUGGUAGUUUGUGGUCAAUAUUGAAGAUAUAAUGUAUCGCAGCAGUAUGAUCAAAAUAGAUGAAACUGACAUCACAGACUGGAUUACCGGUAUUGAAAAUCAGAAUGUUUAAUAAUUGGAGAUGAAUCUCAUCACGUUAGCGAGCAUGAUAGGCAGAUGUUGACCUAUAGGGAUCACCAUGUCCAUCUGCCUGUCCAUCACCCUGUCCAUCUGCCUGUCCUUUUUAUCACCAAUACUGUUAUUUACAGACUUAUUUUCAUACAUUAUAUGUGUACUACUGUGUGUGUAUUUACGUUGUCAAUGUAUGUUAUCCUAUACACAGUAUAUCUGGAAAUAAAGCCUAGAUCAAUCAACUAUCAAUGACUUUACAAAGCAAACUCAUAAUAAUUAACAAAUAAAUGUUCAACAAUCAACUCAUUUUUUUUAUUAAUGUUAGGUGAGCGGUACAUGCCCAUUAGGCCUCUUUUUGAUGAUCAUGAAUGUCUAUCAGCCAAAAACUGCCAAGAUCUGUGAUGUUUGAUAUUAUUAUGUUGAAUCAUGGCCUUUCCGAUCAAAACAUUCCCCUGUCUACACUCCAAAGAAUACCUAGUGUAUCAACGCUACCUAAAUAUUGAUGUCAUUUUCAAUAUUGUGUAAAGUGUAUUUAUUUUUCCUGCAUUUUAGUAUUUUGGUACAUUCUACAAACCAUUCAUUUAUAUGCAUAGUGGUUUGUUGUUUUAUGAUGAACAAAUACUUUAAACCAGGUGAAUGGGGCUAUAUAUAUCCCUGUGGUACAUGUUGUUGUACUUGUGAAUAUUAUGUUGAUAAAGUUGGUAGAUCGAACACGCCAAUUAGGUGAUGGUUACACAUGACGUCAUAGACAUGUGGGUACGUUAUAGGUUAAGAAUGACGUCAUAGAUAUGUCGAUACAUUAUAGGUUAAGAAUGUCAUUAUAGAUAUGUCGGUACAUUAUAGAUAUGUCGAAACAUUAUAGGUGAAGAAUGACGUCAUAGAUGUGUCGAUACAUUAUAGGUGAAGAAUGACAUCAUAGAUAUGUCGAUACAUUAUAGGUUAAGAAUGACGUCGCAGAUAUGUCGGUACAUUAUAGGUUAAGAAGGACAUCAUAGAUAUGUCGGUACAUUAUAGAUAUGUCAAUACAUUAUAGGUGAAGAAUGACGUCAUAGAUAUGUCGAUACAUUAUAGGUACAGAAUGACAUAAUAGAUAUGUCGGUACAUUAUAGAUAUGUCGAUAUAUUAUAGGUUAAGAAUGACGUCGUAAAUAUGUAGGUACAUUAUAGGUUAAGAAUGACGUCGAAGAUAUGUUGGUACAUUAUAGGUUAAGAAGGACAUCAUAGAUAUGUCGGUACAUUAUAGAUAUGUCGAUACAUUAUAGGUUAAGAAUGACGUCAUAGAUAUGUCGGUACAUUAUAGAUAUGUCGGUACAUUAUAGAUAUGUCGAUACAUUAUAGGUUAAGAAUGACGUCGUAGAUAUGUCGGUACAUUAUAGGUUAAGAAUGACGUCGAAGAUAUGUCGAUACAUUAUAGAUAUGUCGAUACAUUAUAGAUAUGUCGGUACAUUAUAGAUAUGUCAAUACAUUAUAAAUAUGUCGGUACAUUAUAGAUAUGUUGAUACAUUAUAGGUUAAGAAUGACGUCGAAGAUAUGUCGAUACAUUAUAGAUAUGUCGGUACAUUAUAGAUAUGUCGAUACAUUAUAGGUUAAGAGUGACGUCAUAGAUGUGUCGGUACAUUAUAGAUAUGUCGGUACAUUAUAGGUUAAGAGUGACGUCAUAGAUGUGUUGGUACAUUAUAUGUUUAGAAUGACGUCAUAGAUAUGUCGGUACAUUCUAGGUUAAGAAUGACGUCAUAGAUGUGUCGGUACAUUAUAGGUUAAGAAUGACGUCAUAGAUAUGUCAGUAUAUUAUAGAAAUGUUGGUACAUUACAGGUUAAGAAUGACAUAUGUCGAUACAUUAUAGGUUAAGAAUGACGUCAUAGAUGUGUCAGUACAUUAUAGAUUAAGAAUGACGUCAUAUAUAUGUCAGUGCAUUAUAGGUUAAGUAUGACGUCAUAGAUAUGUCAGUGCAUUAUAGGUUAAGAAUGACGUCAUAGAUAUGUCAGUACAUUAUAGAUAUGUCGGUACAUUAUAGAUAUGUCAGUACAUUAUAGAUAUGUCAAUACAUUAUAGAUAUGUCGGUACAUUAUAGAUAUGUCGGUACAUUAUAGGUUAAGAAUGACGUCAUAGAUGUGUCAGUACAUUAUAGAUUAAGAAUGACGUCAUAUAUAUGUCAGUGCAUUAUAGGUUAAGUAUGACGUCAUAGAUAUGUCAGUGCAUUAUAGGUUAAGAAUGACGUCAUAGAUAUGUCAGUACAUUAUAGAUAUGUCGGUACAUUAUAGAUAUGUCAGUACAUUAUAGAUAUGUCAAUACAUUAUAGAUAUGUCGGUACAUUAUAGAUAUGUCGGUACAUUAUAGGUUAAGAAUGACAUAUGUUGGUACAUUACAGGUUAAGAAUGACAGAUAUGUCGGUACAUUAUAGGUUAAGAAUGACGUCAUAGAUAUGUUGGUACAUUAUAGGUUAAGAAUGACGUCAUAGAUAUGUCGGUACAUUAUAGAUAUGUCAGUACAUUAUAGGUUAAGAAUGACGUCAUAGAUAUGUCGGUAUGUUAGAGGUUAAGAAUACAUUAUAGAUAUGUCAGUACAUUAUAGGUUAAGAAUGACAUCAUAGAUAUGUCGGUACAUCAUGGAUAUGUCAAUACAUUAUAGAUAUGUCAAUACAUUAUAGAUAUGUCGGUACAUUAUAGGUUAAGAAUGACAUAUGUUGGUACAUUACAGGUUAAGAAUGACAGAUAUGUCGGUACAUUAUAGAUUAAGAAUGACGUCAGAGAUAUGUCGGUACAUUAUAGAUUAAGAAUGACGUCAGAGAUAUGUCGGUACAUUAUAGGUUAAAAUGUCGUCAUAUAUUUGGGUACAUUAUAGGUUAAGAAUGACAUCAUAGAUAUGCCGGUAUGUUAGAGGUUAAGAAUGACGUCAUAUAUAUGUCGGUAUGUUAGAGGUUAAGAAUGAGGUUGAAGAUAUGUCGGUACAUUAUAGGUUAAGAAUGACGUCAUAGAUAUUUCAGAUUUAUGUUAAGCACAAAGUCGUAUAUGUGUCUGUUCAUUGUAGUAAUAAUGAUAUUGUAAUUUAGCUGUAUCAUCUUAAAUGUUGUCACUGCUAUUUUAUUUAAAGAGACAAUUCAGUCAUGUUUGAAAUUAAGAUAAUGCUGAAACUAUACUACUCCUUAUAAAAGUCAAAUUUGAGAGUAAACAUUCUAUAUUCUGAGUGUUCAGAGUUCUGUCUCAACAAAAGCUUGGUGAUGAGUAUUAUAUAUGAUGAUGUCUCUCGACUCGGUGAUGUCUCACGAAUCGGUGAUGAGUAUUAUAUAUGAUUAUAUCUCUCGACUCUUAGCAUUCCAUUCAAACUACCAUGUUCUUUGUAUAAUUUAUCACUUUAAAAACACAUAACCACAUACUCAUGUUGGUCAAAAUGUGAGAAAAAAAUCGUAUAAACCAUAUAAUCAUAUGAUAAAGGAUUUCUUAGUUUUCAAUUAAAAUUCCAAGAAAACUAUUGUGAUAUUGGCUUGGAUUGUACAGUCACUAUAUAUAUAUAUUCAAUGGAGUUUGUGACAUACAAAUAAUGAAGGCAAACAACACUUUAUUGUCUCUUUAAAGUUGAUGUCUGGAUUGUACCAUGAUAGUUUGUAUUUAAAAGCUUAAUGCAUAAUUUUUCAUGUACAAUUUGUGUAUCUGAACAUUCAUGAAUAUCAAAAAUUUGAAUUGUUCCGAUAAUUUGUAGAUCUAUGUAUAAUGUUAUUGUACAGAUAAUUUUGUGUAUUUCCUAAAUUGGACAGUUUCUGUGUAUAUCUUGAAUUUUACAGUCAGUGUAUAAGUUAUACUGCCGUUAUAGAUAUAUUAAUGCUGAUGAAUAAGGUGCAAUAGUCUACAUUACUAUGUUAUUACUGAUUUCACUAGUUUUAUUUAUUAAAGUUGGUUGUAUUGAAUUGUGGCAUUUUCUUUGGUUGAGAUUUUUUAAAAGAGCUGUUUUGUAGCACGAGACUAAGGCAGUGGAAAUCUAGGUCAUCAAUAUUAAUACAGUAAAACUUGUUUAUAAAGAACUCCAAGGGACCUUGAAAUUGAAUUCGUUAUCAAGUAGUUCGUUGUAUAAAUAAAACGAACGGGAAUAAAAGUUGAUAAAACUCGU